RNAcentral lists this ribosomal RNA (406 nucleotides) under uncultured bacterium. RNAcentral describes it as "partial 16S ribosomal RNA". It matches the Rfam family "Bacterial small subunit ribosomal RNA", at positions 30 to 526 of the family's 1533-position model. The record is from RNAcentral.
AUUGAACGCUGGCGGCAGGCCUAACACAUGCAAGUCGAGCGAGCGGCGGACGGGAGAGUAAUGUAUGGGGCUCUGCCCGAUAGAGGGGGAUAACUACUGGAAACGGUGGCUAAUACCGCAUACUAUCGGCUGAACCCAUAUGGGAUGAGCUAGUAGGUGGGGUAAAGGCUCACCUAGGUGACGAUCUCUACCUGGUCUGAGAGGAUGAACAGCCACACUGGAACUGAGACACGGCCCAGACUCCUACGGGAGGCAGCAGUGGGGAAUAUUGCACAAUGGGCGCAAGCCUGAUGCAGCCAUGCCGCGUGUAUGAAGAAGGCCUUAGGGUUGUAAAGUACUUUCAGCGGGGAGGCGUUACCCACAGAAGAAGCACCGGCUAACUCCGUGCCAGCAGCCGCGGUAAUUC